CAUUUAACAAUUGUAUAUAUGCUAUCUACUACAUAUUUUGUUGUAUAGUAUGCAGCUAUCUACAGAAAGAACGUUAUCUACCUAUGUAUAUCAUACUACAAGUAAUGUUUUUUAGGAAUGUGAAAUAAAUAAUUUAGUCAAUAUUUUAGCAUAUAACAAGUCAGUUUAAGUAUUAUUUUUUAAAUUUAAGAUGAGUUUUUUUACUGUGAGUUAUUUUUACUGGCACAUCCUUGGAAAUAAAGAUAUGUGUGCACAAUUUUUAAAAGAACGAGAAUUACGUAUAUCCAAGAUUACAGGGGACAGGGCUGAAACUCAAACCAUCAAAAUUCUUUGGAAACGCGUAAAAAAUAAGUAUAACAUUAAAUCAUGCAGAGCAACUGACUUGUUAAAAUAUCAACAUCAAGAAGACGGUCGAUUCUUGAUUUGACAAAAAAAAAUAUAUUUUAAUCCAAAUUUCAACAUAAACAGCAAUUUAAACAUUGAUAUAAUUGUUGAACAAUUAAUUUUUUAUUAUGUAGAUAGAAUAUCAAACAGAUGCUAUACUUAUAUACAUUGAUUAUUGGUAACUGAGCAGAACAUUGAUGAUGCAGCUACUUGUGACCAGCUACCCGGAGCUGCACCAAUAUCUAUUACACACUGGCCUGGUUUCAAUAAAGAAAAUCUAUCAUCCAUUUGCAAUAGUUUGAAUGCACUUCUACAUCUGUAUUAAAAAUAUAAAACAAAUAUUUUAUUGUUUUUUUUUUCUGUAGCAUUUUGUUUGCCUAUUUUGUUAAUGAUAGUCACAUUAAACUAGUAUGAUCAAUUAAAUAUACUAUACGAUUAAAAAAAAAAUUAUUAAACUUCAUCUACAAUACCUAUAA
Long non-coding RNA from Rhopalosiphum padi (bird cherry-oat aphid), 860 nucleotides. RefSeq lists it as uncharacterized. The transcript has 2 exons. Lineage: Eukaryota; Metazoa; Arthropoda; Insecta; Hemiptera; Aphididae. The record is from RefSeq and is a predicted model, not a curated record.